Long non-coding RNA from Canis lupus familiaris (dog), 3857 nucleotides. RefSeq lists it as uncharacterized. The transcript is spliced from 5 exons. The record is from RefSeq and is a predicted model, not a curated record. Lineage: Eukaryota; Metazoa; Chordata; Mammalia; Carnivora; Canidae.
GUAAGAAGUCAGCAGUCUCUGACCCAGAAGAGAGCUCUCACCAGAACCCCACCAUGCUGGCACCAGGAUCUCAGCUAGCCUGGAGAUGUGUGCUCCAGGAUCAGACCGUGCUCAUAAAGGCUAUAGAAUGUGUGGAUGUAUUCCCUCUAACCGACAGGGUGGGCGAUGGCUGGAUUCUUCUCGAACUCCAGGUACCCAAUCCUGGUUUGAAGCCGAUGUCUCAUCAGAGAAGCAUUUGGUAGCCUCAUCUUUCCUCCCAUGCCUGAAGGCCCGGGGAGGGCCUCUGGGGGAUGUGAUUCUCCCACUUGCCUACCACGGGGGAAAGCCUGGCUGAGAAGACUUUCGAAGUCCUAACCAACCCCAAGUCCUCUAGUAGGUAAAAAACGAAGUGACAGAAACAGCGAGGCCACCAGCAAUCAGCCUGAACUCUGUCCUCACUGUGCCUCUAACAAAGCAAUGAAGAGCAAUGGGCCAUGCCAUCCAUAAGCUGGUGUCUUUAGCCAGCGGUCCCCAGGCAGUGUGUGAAAUCGGAGCCACACAGACCACAAGGCCCCUGCCGGUUGCUUUUUCGUUCCCAUCUACCUGCACGGAAAAUCCUGCCACUGGUACUUGGAUUCACAAAGGACAUCCUGGGUCCAUUUACUGAGGAGGUUAACCAGUGCUCUCCGUGGGCCCUGGGGUUCACGGGGACAGCAGCUACACGCAACAUUUUAAUGAAGACCAGCGUUUCGGAAGUAAGUCCUGUUACAAAGACAAAGCGUGAUGCUGGAGAAGACCAAGGCCAAGAACCAAGGUCUGGCACUCGGCCUUAGAGACCUGAAGAACCAGGGUAGCCCUGCAGAUUAAAUGAGAGAGCCAAACAAAUGCCUGGCACAGUGAGAGCACGGAGUCAGCCUUGGGAAACAGCUCAUUGCAAUGGGAAGAACUCUGGAUUGGGGUUCAGAACUCCUUGCUUCCCAUCUCUGCUGGUUACCAGCUGCGUGAAUUAAGGCGAGUGACUUAAUCCCUCUGAAUCUCAGUUAACCUAUCUGUAAAAGGGCAAGUUGGUACCUCUCUGGUCUUGGUUGCUCCAGGAGCAUUUAUGAACAGCUUCAAGACAUAAAGACAAGACACGCCCGGGGAGGGCAGGAAGGCCGAAGUUGUGAGAACUCAUAAGCAGCCAGGACAGGACCUGGGCCUGAGUGCUUUCUGGGCACAGGGACAAGGAAAGGCCCAAACUGUGGUUGCAGAAAGGAUGCCCAUGCAGAGCAAGGGAGGCACAUUUCUUCUCCCUGCAGUCUUCAAACAAAGCUCUGGCUUGGUGGAGGUGGCGUCAGGGGACAAGAUUCCAGAAGUCACUUAUUCAAAGAACUUAAAUCUGGGCUCUGACUUGCUCCUGGGCUCCUUCAUCCAGCACAGGCACACAAGAAUCCAGGAGGGUGUGUGUGGGGUGGGGUGGCUGGAGCUUCCUGGCAUGCGUCUUUCAAAUGCCCCCAGGCCAUCCUGGGAUCUUCUUCCUCUUGGAGCACCAUGUGUCAUUGAAGAUAAAGGGGAACACAUGACCAGAGGACUCAGAUCUGCAGGGCCCCCAAGGGGAGUUUAAGCUGAUCAAAAAUGCUCCAAAAGGGUGAAGUGGAGCUAUCGUCUUGUGACCGGAGUCUGUUCCCCACAAGCUCUUCCCUCUUGGAGGAACCACCUUGGGGUCAAGUGAAGGAGAAAUGGGACACAUGGUAGGAAGAAAAGGCAAGGUCCACAGCCCCCCUGCGGCAGAUGAAGCCAAAGUAUCGCUCUCGUCUCGGGCUCGGGAAACACUACGAAGGGUUAGCUGUACGCUAAGCUCUUGGGGAAUGCUUCGAGGCAUUUAGCCUAUAAUUUUCAUCCAUCACCCAGUGGCCUCGUCUAAGACACAGUGGCCACCUCCAAGAUGCUUCAGGUCUUGCAAGGCAAAGACUAUUAUGAUAGAAUCUGUUGGAUGCUAAAUUGGGAAGACAGUGGGUCCAAGCAAAGCUCGGUGGGAAUGGGAGGAUGACCAUAUGGAGGAGAUGGCGUCUGAGCCGGGCCGUAAGGGUGAGGCACAUUUCUUCUCCAUUAAAUAUUCAAAUGCAGCACUGGUUCUCCACGGUGGGCGUGGCGUCGGGGGGAGAUUUCAGAAUGUCGCUUCUGAGGAGAUUGGGCUGGGGGUGAGACAGGGGAGAAAGGGUAUGUGCCACUGGACAAGGCUGUCACAUCCCUACACCCCGAAGAGACCUAGGUUGUACUGGGACUGACUUGUGCCUGUGGACCCUGCCUGGUGAACCUGGGCAGAUUUCAACUAUGCACACUUGGAGAGGCUGGCUUUGGCCCCACAAUCCCACUGAGCUGUGGCAGCAAAGUCAACUGAUCUGAGUAUCUAGAGGAGACAAGACUGAGAAGAGCCCGCUUGGAACUCUCGACCGUCACUCUAGUUGUGUGUGUCUGCCCCGUACAACCUGGGGGGCUCCUGGUUGACACGCAAGCACCUCCGAAUUCUCUCCUGCAGUGUGACGAUGGCGGUCUAGGUCUUUAAAAUAACCCAUCCAUCGAUCAAACACAGACACCAAGGAGAAUGAUCCUGGGAAGAUACCUUUGCUUGAAUACAUUUUUUUUAAAUCCUCAAAGGAAUAAAACGUAUACAAUUUGGAUUAUUCCUGUGACAGAUGAGCUCCUUCAAAUAAGGGAAUUAAGUCCCUAAUUGGAAUUAAAGGAAGAAAAGAUAUGUCCCAAUGACAUUCCUCUGUACCUUCCUCCAACCAGGCAAUGGACCAAUACGGAAAGUCGUUUGCCUCGUUAUUCUGGAACAAAUUUACACUUGUCUUAGGAAACAGGCUAAGUUUUUCCAAUAAUUUAGAGAAAGCAUGUCCUAGUCGCUGUGUGUAACCCACACAUGUGCGAUAACAGUGCACACAGCACACCCACGGAAAAAAAUAACAGUGCUUUUACUUAAGAGAAAGGAAGGAUAAUGGUUACUUAGAAAGUGUCCCAGACAAGCUGUCAAAUUGAAUUCAGAGAGCUGGAGUCUGACUCCGGGACAGGGCUGGCUGGCUAAAUUCCCUUGGGAUUGGGGUUUCCUGCCUGCUACAGUUUGGAGACAACCAUUCUUUGUUUCCAGCUCACUCACUCGCUCUCUCUUUCAAUCUCUCUCUGGUGAACACACACACACACACACACGUACGUACGCACACAAAAACAUGUAGCUCUCCAAAGAGGGUCAGAUCGAAAGCAGACAAAACAUUAACUCUGGAAUUUCAAAGAAAAACAGUUUAAAAAAAAUAAAAUGGAGAGAGCAAGCUACUGUCUAUUCUAGAAUCAUAAAUCUUGCCUUUGGACCACAGAAACAGCACACGCUCUCCCUCUCUCUCUCACACACACACUCAGCAAUCACCCCUGCUUUGCUAAAAAUGGAUUAGGGGUAUUUCAUCAUAAAGGAAAAACAUAUAAUGACAAAGUUCUUAACGGGCCCUCCUGUGAGGCCUUAAUACCCUCAAAUUUUAAGUGCAUGUUGGUUGACACAGACAGAGCCUGUGGAACCAUAUAACCUGCUACAUAAGAGAUGUUAUUUACUCCCUAAAAAUAACAGGAGAUUACCUCAGAGUAUUACAGGCCUUUUCCUACGGGGACACGUGUUCCAGACCAACCCCCAUGUGCCACCCUAUCCGGGGCAUGCCCGUGCCCGGCACCACGCUCACCCUCCCCUUCCGCAGAGACACUGCACCCGGGAGGCCGCCCGAAGCCCACCGUCCCCCAAGUGCUGUACUCGAAGACACGUCACCCUCAUUCGCUACGUGAUACACACCGUGCGUAGCUUUGGGAAUAAAUAUUCUGAACUCCUCUCUGCUUCUUUUUUUCCCCAUCAAAACAAA